Molecule: transfer RNA, 65 nt
Filed under: Opecarcinus hypostegus
Lineage: Eukaryota; Metazoa; Arthropoda; Malacostraca; Decapoda; Cryptochiridae
Description: tRNA-Tyr
Rfam family: tRNA
About the family: Transfer RNA (tRNA) molecules are approximately 80 nucleotides in length. Their secondary structure includes four short double-helical elements and three loops (D, anti-codon, and T loops).
Source: RNAcentral
AUAAAGUGGCUGAGGAUAGAAGCGGUAGAUUGUAAAUCUAUAGACGAGGUAGAACUCCUUUAUAA